ACACACACACACACACAGAGAGAGAGAGAGAGAGAGAGUGACGCAUACAACUGACUAGGCAAUUUGUUGUCCAUGUUAGCUUUGGAUUAGCUAAACUAAGCCUAAAUAUCUCUCUCUCUCUCUCUCUCUCUCUGUGUGUGUGUGUGUGU
This is a non-coding RNA of Podarcis lilfordi (Lilford's wall lizard), 149 nucleotides long. The record is from the annotation of a GenBank genome assembly. NCBI's taxonomy places the organism in Eukaryota, Metazoa, Chordata, Lepidosauria, Squamata, Lacertidae.